UGGCCGGCCAUCAGCGGUCUAAGGCGCUGCGUUCAGGUAGCAGUCUCCCCUGGAGGCGUGGGUUCGAAUCCCACUUCUG
RNAcentral lists this transfer RNA (79 nucleotides) under Merluccius polli (Benguela hake). RNAcentral's name for it is "tRNA-Leu". Lineage: Eukaryota; Metazoa; Chordata; Actinopteri; Gadiformes; Merlucciidae. The record is from RNAcentral.